RNAcentral lists this ribosomal RNA (401 nucleotides) under uncultured bacterium. RNAcentral describes it as "bacterial SSU rRNA". It matches the Rfam family "Bacterial small subunit ribosomal RNA", at positions 357 to 775 of the family's 1533-position model. The record is from RNAcentral.
GGGAAUAUUAGUAAUGGGCGAAAGCCUGAACUAGCAACGCCGCGUGUGCGAAGAAGGCCUUCGGGUUGUAAAGCACUUUUUGAGAGGAUGAGGAAGGACGGUACUCUCAGAAUAAGUCUCGGCUAACUACGUGCCAGCAGCCGCGGUAACACGUAGGAGGCGAACGUUAUCCGGAUUUACUGGGCGUAAAGCGCGUGUAGGUGGUUUGGUAAGUAGGGCGUGAAAGCUCCUGGCUCAACUGGGACAGGCCGUUCUAAACUGCCGAACUAGAGGAUGGUAGAGGGAGGUGGAAUUCCGGGUGUAGCGGUGGAAUGCGCAGAUAUCCGGAGGAACACCAGUGGCGAAAGCGGCCUCCUGGACCAUUCCUGACACUCAGACGCGAAAGCUAGGGUAGCAAACGG